Non-coding RNA from Paramuricea clavata, 470 nucleotides. The record is from the annotation of a GenBank genome assembly. NCBI's taxonomy places the organism in Eukaryota, Metazoa, Cnidaria, Anthozoa, Malacalcyonacea, Plexauridae.
CUGCGAUAAAAACAAUUACUAUACAUUUUGCCUACAAAUACAAACAUUCAUUGUUACUAUUUUGGACUUUAAAACUGCCCAAGCAAAUUAUGUUGUUUGGAUCGCCUGUGGGAGACUAAGAGGACAUCCGAAAUGUAUGUCACUAUGUGGUAUAUUUACUAUAUUGUCUGUGUCUGACAGUAUCGACAGUGCUACGCACAUUGUAUAAACUUGUUAGAAUCUUUACUUUGCUAACAUAAGUCAAUGAAGAGAAGCGAAGACAAUUCAUCUGUUGGAAAAUUAAUGUAAUAUAAUUUAAUACUGUAUAUUUUUUAUAUACUAUUGCAGUAUUGCCUAUGCACUGUAUGGCAGUUUUCUAUUAGGGUGUGCUAAUCACUAAAAUUUAGGUGUGCAAGUGUGUAAUCCUGUCUACAAUUUAUUCAAGCAUGCAGUGUGUACUAUUAAAGUUGGUAUUGAUGUAAAAAAUUGAC